UACGGAGGGUGCGAGCGUUAAUCGGAGUAACUGGGCGUAAAGGGCACGCAGGCGGGCUGUUAAGUGAGGUGUGAAAUCCCCGGGCUUAACCUGAGAAUAGCAUUUCAGACUGGGAGUCUAGAGUACUUUAGGGAGGGGUAGAAUUCCACGUGUAGCGGUGAAAUGCGUAGAGAUGUGGAGGAAUACCGAAGGCGAAGGCAGCCCCGUGGGAAUGUACUGACGCUCAUGUGCGAAAGCGUGGGUAGCAAACAGG
This 253-nucleotide ribosomal RNA is filed under the name uncultured bacterium. RNAcentral's name for it is "partial 16S ribosomal RNA". It matches the Rfam family "Bacterial small subunit ribosomal RNA", at positions 524 to 776 of the family's 1533-position model. The record is from RNAcentral.